GUCUAAAGCUGAUGUGUGCCCAAGCUCCCUAUCCCAUCUGAUCUUGGAAGCUGAGCAGGGUCGGGCCUGGUUAGCACUUGGAUGGGAGACCACCUGGGAUGCCGGGUGCUGUAGGCC
This is a ribosomal RNA of Fukomys damarensis (Damara mole-rat), 117 nucleotides long. The record is from Ensembl. NCBI's taxonomy places the organism in Eukaryota, Metazoa, Chordata, Mammalia, Rodentia, Bathyergidae.